Molecule: unclassified non-coding RNA, 332 nt
Filed under: soil metagenome
Description: partial contains 5.8S ribosomal RNA, internal transcribed spacer 2, and large subunit ribosomal RNA
Rfam family: 5.8S ribosomal RNA (bases 1-120)
Source: RNAcentral
GAUGAAGAACGUAGCGAAAUGCGAUAAGUAGUGUGAAUUGCAGAAUUCAGUGAAUCAUCGAAUCUUUGAACGCACAUUGCGCCCUUUGGUAUUCCUUAGGGCAUGCCUGUUCGAGCGUCAUUUAAACCUUCAAGCUAAGCUUGGUGUUGGGUGACUGUCCGCUUCACGGCGGACUCGCCUCAAAAUUAUUGGCGGCCGGUACAUUGGCUUCGAGCGCAGCAGAAACGCGAACUCGGGCCCGUCGUAUUGGCUCCCAGAAGCUAUCUUCACAAUUUAGACCUCGGAUCAGGUAGGGAUACCCGCUGAACUUAAGCAUAUCAAUAAGCGGAGGA